GCCCCGAUAGUUAAACGGCCAUAACCGAUGAUUUGUAAUCAUCAGUUGAGGGUUCGAAUCCCUCUCGGGGCU
This 72-nucleotide transfer RNA is filed under the name Gammaproteobacteria bacterium. Its description in RNAcentral is "tRNA-Thr". It matches the Rfam family "tRNA". Rfam says of the family: Transfer RNA (tRNA) molecules are approximately 80 nucleotides in length. The record is from RNAcentral. Lineage: Bacteria; Pseudomonadati; Pseudomonadota; Gammaproteobacteria.